Molecule: transfer RNA, 68 nt
Filed under: Bos taurus (domestic cattle)
Lineage: Eukaryota; Metazoa; Chordata; Mammalia; Artiodactyla; Bovidae
Also listed under: 1 other name
Rfam family: tRNA
About the family: Transfer RNA (tRNA) molecules are approximately 80 nucleotides in length. Their secondary structure includes four short double-helical elements and three loops (D, anti-codon, and T loops). Further hydrogen bonds mediate the characteristic L-shaped molecular structure. tRNAs have two regions of fundamental functional importance: the anti-codon, which is responsible for specific mRNA codon recognition, and the 3' end, to which the tRNAs corresponding amino acid is attached (by aminoacyl-tRNA synthetases). tRNAs cope with the degeneracy of the genetic code in two manners: having more than one tRNA (with a specific anti-codon) for a particular amino acid; and 'wobble' base-pairing, i.e. permitting non-standard base-pairing at the 3rd anti-codon position.
Source: Rfam by way of RNAcentral
CCUGUGGCUCAGAUGGUAAAGCAUCUGCCUACAAUGCAGGAAACCUGGGUUCGAUCCCCGGGUCAGGA